RNAcentral lists this ribosomal RNA (1127 nucleotides) under Acinetobacter sp. soB1. RNAcentral's name for it is "partial 16S ribosomal RNA". It matches the Rfam family "Bacterial small subunit ribosomal RNA", at positions 226 to 1345 of the family's 1533-position model. Lineage: Bacteria; Pseudomonadati; Pseudomonadota; Gammaproteobacteria; Moraxellales; Moraxellaceae. The record is from RNAcentral.
UGAGCCUAAGNNNNNNUANNNAGUUGGUGGNNNANANGCCNACCAAGGCGACGANNNGUAGCGGGUCUGAGAGGAUGAUCCNNCACACUGGGACUGAGACACGGCCCAGAUUCCUACGGGAGGCAGCAGUGGGGAAUAUUGGACAAUGGGCGAAAGCCUGAUCCAGCCAUGCCGCGUGUGUGAAGAAGGCCUUUUGGUUGUAAAGCACUUUAAGCGAGGAGGAGGCUACUUAGAUUAAUACUCUAGGAUAGUGGACGUUACUCGCAGAAUAAGCACCGGCUAACUCUGUGCCAGCAGCCGCGGUAAUACAGAGGGUGCGAGCGUUAAUCGGAUUUACUGGGCGUAAAGCGUGCGUAGGCGGCUUCUUAAGUCGGAUGUGAAAUCCCUGAGCUUAACUUAGGAAUUGCAUUCGAUACUGGGAAGCUAGAGUAUGGGAGAGGAUGGUAGAAUUCCAGGUGUAGCGGUGAAAUGCGUAGAGAUCUGGAGGAAUACCGAUGGCGAAGGCAGCCAUCUGGCCUAAUACUGACGCUGAGGUACGAAAGCAUGGGGAGCAAACAGGAUUAGAUACCCUGGUAGUCCAUGCCGUAAACGAUGUCUACUAGCCGUUGGGGCCUUUGAGGCUUUAGUGGCGCAGCUAACGCGAUAAGUAGACCGCCUGGGGAGUACGGUCGCAAGACUAAAACUCAAAUGAAUUGACGGGGGCCCGCACAAGCGGUGGAGCAUGUGGUUUAAUUCGAUGCAACGCGAAGAACCUUACCUGGUCUUGACAUAGUAAGAACUUUCCAGAGAUGGAUUGGUGCCUUCGGGAACUUACAUACAGGUGCUGCAUGGCUGUCGUCAGCUCGUGUCGUGAGAUGUUGGGUUAAGUCCCGCAACGAGCGCAACCCUUUUCCUUAUUUGCCAGCGGGUUAAGCCGGGAACUUUAAGGAUACUGCCAGUGACAAACUGGAGGAAGGCGGGGACGACGUCAAGUCAUCAUGGCCCUUACGACCAGGGCUACACACGUGCUACAAUGGUCGGUACAAAGGGUUGCUACCUAGCGAUAGGAUGCUAAUCUCAAAAAGCCGAUCGUAGUCCGGAUUGGAGUCUGCNNNUCGACUCCAUGAAGUCGGAAUCGCUAGUAUCGC